AGCGAACGCUGGCGGCAGGCCUAACACAUGCAAGUCGAACGAACUCUUCGGAGUUAGUGGCGGACGGGUGAGUAACACGUGGGAACGUGCCUUUUGGUUCGGAAUAACUCAGGGAAACUUGUGCUAAUACCGAAUGUGCCCUUCGGGGGAAAGAUUUAUCGCCAUUAGAGCGGCCCGCGUCUGAUUAGCUAGUUGGUGAGGUAACGGCUCACCAAGGCGACGAUCAGUAGCUGGUAUGAGAGGAUGACCAGCCACACUGGGACUGAGACACGGCCCAGACUCCUACGGGAGGCAGCAGUGGGGAAUCUUGCGCAAUGGGCGAAAGCCUGACGCAGCCAUGCCGCGUGAAUGAUGAAGGUCUUAGGAUUGUAAAAUUCUUUCACCGGGGACGAUAAUGACGGUACCCGGAGAAGAAGCCCCGGCUAACUUCGUG
RNAcentral lists this ribosomal RNA (433 nucleotides) under uncultured bacterium. RNAcentral describes it as "partial 16S ribosomal RNA". It matches the Rfam family "Bacterial small subunit ribosomal RNA", at positions 29 to 507 of the family's 1533-position model. The record is from RNAcentral.